CGUUUAUUUGAUAGUGCCUUACUACUUGGAUAACCGUGGUAAUUCUAGAGCUAAUACAUGCUAAAAACCCCGACUUCGGAAGGGGUGUAUUUAUUAGAUACAAAACCAAUGCCCUUCGGGGCUCCUUGGUGAUUCAUGAUAACUAUACGAAUCGCACGGCCUUGCGCCGGCGAUGGUUCAUUCAAAUUUCUUCCCUAUCAACUUUCGAUGUUUGGGUAUUGGCCAAACAUGGUUGCAACGGGUAACGGAGGGUUAGGGCUCGACCCCGGAGAAGGAGCCUGAGAAACGGCUACUACAUCCAAGGAAGGCAGCAGGCGCGCAAAUUACCCAAUCCCGACUCGGGGAGGUAGUGACAAUAAAUACUGAUACAGGGCCCUUUCGGGCCUUGUAAUUGGAAUGAGUACAAUUUAAAUCCCUUAACGAGGAACAAUUGGAGGGCAAGUCUGGUGCCAGCAGCCGCGGUAAUUCCAGCUCCAAUAGCGUAUAUUAAAGUUGUUGUGGUUAAAAAGCUCGUAGUUGAACCUUGGGCCUGGCUGGCCGGUCCGCCUCACCGCGUGCACUGGUCCGGCCGGGCCUUUCCCUCUGUGGAACCCCAUACCCUUCACUGGGCGUGGCGGGGAAACAGGACAUUUACUUUGAAAAAAUUAGAGUGCUCCAGGCAGGCCUAUGCUCGAAUACAUUAGCAUGGAAUAAUAAAAUAGGACGCGCGGUUCUAUUUUGUUGGUUUAUAGGACCGCCGUAAUGAUUAAUAGGGACAGUCGGGGGCAUCAGUAUUCAACUGUCAGAGGUGAAAUUCUUGGAUCAGUUGAAGACUAACUACUGCGAAAGCAUUUGCCAAGGAUGUUUUCAUUAAUCAGGAACGAAAGUUAGGGGAUCGAAGACGAUCAGAUACCGUCGUAGUCUUAACCAUAAACUAUGCCGACUAGGGAUCGGACGGUGUUAUUCAUGACCCGUUCGGCACCUUACGAGAAAUCAAAGUGCUUGGGCUCCCAGGGGGAGUAUGGUCGCAAGGCUGAAACUUAAAGAAAUUGACGGAAGGGCACCACCAGGGGUGGAGCCUGCGGCUUAAUUUGACUCAACACGGGGAAACUCACCAGGUCCAGACACAAUAAGGAUUGACAGAUUGAGAG
Molecule: ribosomal RNA, 1130 nt
Filed under: Sarocladium sp.
Lineage: Eukaryota; Fungi; Ascomycota; Sordariomycetes; Hypocreales; Sarocladiaceae
Description: SSU rRNA
Rfam family: Eukaryotic small subunit ribosomal RNA
Source: RNAcentral